RNAcentral lists this ribosomal RNA (468 nucleotides) under uncultured bacterium. RNAcentral's name for it is "partial 16S ribosomal RNA". It matches the Rfam family "Bacterial small subunit ribosomal RNA", at positions 28 to 507 of the family's 1533-position model. The record is from RNAcentral.
GACGAACGCUGGCGGCGUGCUUAACACAUGCAAGUCGAACGGAAAGGCCCUGCUUUUGUGGGGUGCUCGAGUGGCGAACGGAUGAGUAACACGUGAGUAACCUGCCCUCGACUUUGGGAUAACUUCAGGAAACUGGGGCUAAUACCGGAUAGGAGCUCCUGCUGCAUGGUGGGGGUUGGAAAGUUUCGGCGGUUGGGGAUGGACUCGCGGGUUAUCAGCUUGUUGGUUGGGUAGGGGCUUACCAAGUCUUUGACGGGUAGCCGGCCUGAGAGGGUGACCGGCCAGCUUGGGGGGGAGUGACAGCCCGGACAGCUUCGGGCGGGAGGCAGGAGGGAUGAUGUAUCAGCGGGGGGAGACAGCUGGAGGGAGCCAGGGCGCGGGGAGGUGGAAGUCCGGUUGGAAAUGACUUUCGCCUGUGGCGGAAGAUGCAUGGAGGUUAUGGGUGAAAUAGGCACGGGUUAAUUCGUG